This 130-nucleotide small nucleolar RNA is filed under the name Jaculus jaculus (lesser Egyptian jerboa). RNAcentral's name for it is "Small nucleolar RNA SNORA71 (ENSJJAG00000002629.1)". It matches the Rfam family "Small nucleolar RNA SNORA71". From Rfam's summary of the family: The members of this family belong to the H/ACA class of snoRNAs which bind a number of proteins (including dyskerin, Gar1p and Nop10p) to form snoRNP complexes. This class of snoRNAs are thought to guide the sites of modification of uridines to pseudouridines by forming direct base pairing interactions with substrate RNAs. This family includes U71 (SNORA71), ACA39 (SNORA39) and ACA60 (SNORA60). The record is from Rfam by way of RNAcentral. Lineage: Eukaryota; Metazoa; Chordata; Mammalia; Rodentia; Dipodidae.
CCCUGCAUUCAAAAGUGAUCGUGGACUGCCCGUGUCCUGGUCAUUGAUAGUGCAGGGGAGGAUGCGGAAAGCCUUUCCCCGUAUUUGGAAGGUCCCUCCUGUCCUUGCCAGACCCUGGUGCUUUCCUACG